This 169-nucleotide non-coding RNA is filed under the name bovine gut metagenome. The record is from RNAcentral.
AGCAUACGGUGCCCCGUGAAUACCGGGGAUAAUAGGGAAGCGGGUGAGAAUCCCGCGCGAUCCCGUCACUGUGACAGAGCGUGACGGUCCAAUAUGUCACUGGGCGAAUGAAAAGCCCGGGAAGGCGGACCGGCAUAAGGCUCUCAAGCCAGGAGACCUGCCGUAUCUU